Molecule: ribosomal RNA, 492 nt
Filed under: uncultured bacterium
Lineage: Bacteria
Description: partial 16S ribosomal RNA
Rfam family: Bacterial small subunit ribosomal RNA
Source: RNAcentral
AGUGAACGCUGGCGGUAGGCCUAACACAUGCAAGUCGAACGGCAGCACAGUAAGAGCUUGCUCUUACGGGUGGCGAGUGGCGGACGGGUGAGGAAUACAUCGGAAUUUACUUUUUCGUGGGGGAUAACGUAGGGAAACUUACGCUAAUACCGCAUACGACCUGCGGGUGAAAGCAGGGGAACUUCGGACCUUGCGCGAUUGACUGAGCCGAUGUCGGAUUAGCUAGUUGGCGGGGUAAAGGCCCACCAAGGCGACGAACCGUAGCUGGUCUGAGAGGAUGAUCAGCCACACUGGAACUGAGACACGGUCCAGACUCCUACGGGAGGCAGCAGUGGGGAAUAUUGGACAAGGGGCGCAAGCCUGAUCCAGCCAUACCGCGUUGGUGAAGAAGGCCUUCGGGUUGUAAAGCCCUUUUGUUGGGAAAGAAAAGCAGCAGGUUAAUACCCCGCUGUUCUGACGGUACCCAAAGAAUAAGCACCGGCUAACUUCGUG